Molecule: ribosomal RNA, 745 nt
Filed under: Alloeocranum arboricolum
Lineage: Eukaryota; Metazoa; Arthropoda; Insecta; Hemiptera; Reduviidae
Description: SSU rRNA
Rfam family: Eukaryotic small subunit ribosomal RNA
Source: RNAcentral
GCCCCGUAAUCGGAAUGAGUACACUUUAAAUCCUUUAACAAGGAUCCAUUGGAGGGCAAGUCUGGUGCCAGCAGCCGCGGUAAUUCCAGCUCCAAUAGCGUAUAUUAAAGUUGUUGCGGUUAAAAAGCUCGUAGUUGGUUCUGCGUGCCGCGCUGUCGGUUCGCCGCCUGUCGGUGUAACUGGCAUGUCGCGGCAUGUCCUGUCGGUGGUGAACGGGGUCCCCGGUGCUGCUGAGGCUUUUACCGCCGAAGUUUGUGCCGUGUGUGUUCCCGUUUACCGAUCUCUCCUACUCCGGUGCUCUUAAACGAGUGUCGAGGUAGGCCGACACGUUCACUUUGAACAAAUUAGAGUGCUUAAAGCAGGCUGAAAUAUCUGCCUGAAUAGUGGUGCAUGGAAUGAUAAAACAGGACUUCAGUUCUAUUUUGUUGGUUUUAGGAAUAUGAGGUAAUGAUCAAUGUGGACUGGCGGGGGCAUUCGUAUUGCGACGUUAGAGGUGAAAUUCUUGGAUCGUCGCAAGACGCACUAGAGCGAAAGCAUUUGCCAAGUAUGUCUUAAUUGAUCAAGAACGAAAGUUAGAGGUUCGAAGGCGAUCAGAUACCGCCCUAGUUCUAACCAUAAACGAUGCCAGCCAGCGAUCCGCCGAUGUUCCUUUAAUGACUCGGCGGGGAGCUUCUACUCGGGAAACCAAAGCUUUUGGGUUCCGGGGGAAGUAUGGUUGCAAAGCUGAAACUUAAAGGAAUUGACG